RNAcentral lists this ribosomal RNA (433 nucleotides) under uncultured bacterium. Its description in RNAcentral is "partial 16S ribosomal RNA". It matches the Rfam family "Bacterial small subunit ribosomal RNA", at positions 29 to 507 of the family's 1533-position model. The record is from RNAcentral.
AACGAACGCUGGCGGCAGGCCUAACACAUGCAAGUCGAGCGGACCCUUCGGGGUUAGCGGCGGACGGGUGAGUAACGCGUGGGAAUAUGCCCUUCUCUACGGAAUAGUCCUGGGAAACUGGGGGUAAUACCGUAUACGCCCUGUGGGGGAAAGAUUUAUCGGGGAAGGAUUAGCCCGCGUUGGAUUAGGUAGUUGGUGGGGUAAUGGCCUACCAAGCGGACGAUCCAUAGCUGGUUUGAGAGGAUGAUCAGCCACACUGGGACUGAGACACGGCCCAGACUCCUACGGGAAGCAGCAGUGGGGAAUCUUAGACAAUGGGGGCAACCCUGAUCUAGCCAUGCCGCGUGAGUGAUGAAGGCCUUAGGGUAGUAAAGCUCUUUCAGCUGGGAAGAUAAUGACGGUACCAGCAGAAGAAGCCCCGGCUAACUCCGUG